AUUGAACGCUGGCGGCAUGCUUUACACAUGCAAGUCGAACGGCCGCGCGGGCUUCGGCCUGGCGGCGAGUUGCGAACGGGUGAGUAAUACAUCGGAACGUGCCCAGUAGUGGGGGAUAGCUCGGCGAAAGCCGGAUUAAUACCGCAUACGACCUGAGGGUGAAAGCGGGGGAUCUUCGGACCUCGCGCUAUUGGCGCGGCCGAUGGCAGAUUAGCUAGUUGGUGGGGUAAAGGCCUACCAAGGCGACGAUCUGUAGCUGGUCUGAGAGGACGACCAGCCACACUGGAACUGAGACACGGCCCAGACUCCUACGGGAGGCAGCAGUGGGGAAUUUUGGACAAUGGGCGAAAGCCUGAUCCAGCAAUGCCGCGUGUGUGAUGAAGGCCUUCGGGUUGUAAAGCACUUUUGGCGGGAACGAAAAGGACUGUGCCAAUACCACGGUUCGAUGACGGUACCCGCAGAAUAAGCACCGGCUAACUACGUG
Molecule: ribosomal RNA, 484 nt
Filed under: uncultured bacterium
Lineage: Bacteria
Description: partial 16S ribosomal RNA
Rfam family: Bacterial small subunit ribosomal RNA
Source: RNAcentral